UGGGGACGGGCUUUGUAGUACAGCAUUUGCCUAGUGUGCACAAGGCCCUGGGUUCAAUUCCCAGCACUCCAA
Ictidomys tridecemlineatus (thirteen-lined ground squirrel) is the source of this 72-nucleotide non-coding RNA. The record is from Rfam. Lineage: Eukaryota; Metazoa; Chordata; Mammalia; Rodentia; Sciuridae.